Molecule: long non-coding RNA, 89 nt
Organism: Etheostoma spectabile (orangethroat darter)
Lineage: Eukaryota; Metazoa; Chordata; Actinopteri; Perciformes; Percidae
Exons: 3
Source: RefSeq, a predicted model, not a curated record
UAAAUAAUGAAAAGUGUUGCUCAGACCUUGUCCCCUGGACCUUGGAGGACUUUCGGCGCAGAUGACAAGUAUGCGUUUUAUGUGGCGAU